ACUAAGAAAAAUUGAAGAGGUGCCAUGGGAAUGGAAGAGACACUACAGAAUACUGAGAUGUUAAGUAAUGUGAUGAUAGAAGAUUGUAGCAAGGAUGAGUUUUCAAGAAACCAAGUGAGAGAGGAAACAAAUAUAGCAGUGAUUGAAAUUGGACAUAAGAUGAACAGGUUAUUUCUCCUAAAAGAGACACUUGCUGGGCAGAUAAAUUCAGUGUAAAGGAAGAAUUAAAACUUCAGAAGAGAGAGGAUAAAUUUAUCAGUGGAUAAGGGAAUGAUAGGGAUUGGGGUGUAGAUUUUAAAUAGUAGGUUUAGUCCCAAAGAAUGAAACUAAUACUUGUAUUUUGAGCUGAGAGGAGAGGAUGGGGCUGUGUGCAAAUAAAUACAAGAGUGUAUGUAUGCAUUGGGGGUGCUGAGGAAUCAGUAAGUAUUUUUUUUUUUGCCUUUUUCCCUGAUUUCAGAACAAAAAGAAGAUGGCAAUGGAGGAGAAAGGUGAAGACAGAAAUGCAUCUUUCUCCAUCAUGCCCUUCUGCCAUGAUAUUUUCAUCUUGGAGUCAGCCAACCAUGGACUGAAUCUCUUGAAACUGUGACCCAAAUCCAAUGUUUCUUUCUUUAACUUUCCGUGUCUUCUGGACAAGAUUUACAGAGCUCUGCUUAUUUGGAUGAAAAAUAGAGAGAGACAAGCUGUCAGUAUAAGUUUGCUCCAAGCUCUUCUUGUACAUUUCCAUUCCCAGAUCAAUAAUCUGUACUUUCAGGGGAUGAAGGAUGCACAGGUAAUGGGGGAAAAAAUAAGAACCAAGAUACAUCAUGUACAGGUACAAGCACCCAAUGAUAAAUGUAAACAUAUUGUAUACCUAAAAUGUACCAGUAAAAGAAUUAAAAAAAUUAAUCUGUACUUUCUUCAGGAAGCUCUGGUUCAUUUUAUUGGAGAAUAGAAUAGAAACUAAUUUCUAGAUACUAAUGGUGCUAGUUGUUACUAAGUUAUAUUCCCAUGUUGUCUCUCAGCUCUAAGGACAAGAAUGUAUACAUGUAUAUACUAACCUAUGUUCUACAUAUAUGUGUAAAUAUUCCUAUCAGUAGCCAUUUCUGUAUUUAUUAAAUUAAACAUGAGUUCAUGGUGUUGGCUCCAAUUACAGCCCCUUAAAAUUGGGAGCAUUCAAGCUUCAUUUUGCUAACCUGUAAAUUCCCACUCUAACAGUGCAAAAUCUGGGCAUCCAGUUGUACAACUUGUUACUUGUUUACUUUAUUUUAAAUUCCAGUGCACAUUCAUAGUCGUGUCAUGACUGUUAGCUUGUACUGCCAUGGGACACAGCUCUGUGAACUAAAAACAGGACUGAUGCAGAGUUCUUUGUGCCUUUAGUCUUACAGAUUCCACUCUUUUCUAAUGUUACUUAGGUCAUUUCCUUUCUCCCAUUCUCUUCCUUUAGGUCCUUCCAUACAUUUGAAAUAUGAUUACAUUGUCUUGUCACAGUCUGCAUUCUUUCCAGGAAUUCCCUUACCUCCUAAAUAAUUUAUUAAAAUUUUCAUACAUCAUAAUUUGUUCCUUGUGCUUUAAUGCACUGUAGAUUGUGACAAUGUGUAAUGACCAUGUUUCUGAUUACAAUAUUAUGCAGAAUAAAUUUUUCACCCUAAAAAUGCUCUGAGUUUCACUUAUUCACUUCUUUUGUUCCCAAACUCCUAGCAAUUGCUGAUCUUUUUACCAAUUCUAUAAUUUUUCAUGUUCCAGAAUGCCAUUUAUUUGGAACUGUGCAGAAUAUAGACUUUGGCAUGGUCUUAUUUCACUUGACAGUAUUCCUUUGCUUGUUGUAGUUAUUCUCAACUAAUAUCUGUUUGUAUGGAUAUAUCAUAGUUUGUUUGUUCAUUUACUGAUUAAAGGGAUAUUGGCGGCAUUUAGAUUUUAAUUGAUUAUGAAUAAAACCAGUAUUCAUGUAAAGAAAGUUUUUGUGGGCAUAAAAUUUUAACUCAUUUGUUCAAAUACCUAGCAACAUUAUUGAGAGGUCAUAUAUAAGUCUAUGCAUAGCUUUGUAAAAAAAUUUGUAGAAGCAAUUAUAAAAUAGCUGUGUUAUUUUGCAUUCUCGCUGGAAAUAAAUGAGUUUUUCUUUUGUUUUAUCUUCAUCAGAAUUUGACAUUGUCAGAUUUUUGGAUUUAGUCAUACUAAUAGGUUUAUAG
This 2165-nucleotide long non-coding RNA is filed under the name Heterocephalus glaber (naked mole-rat). RNAcentral describes it as "lncRNA (ENSHGLG00000048401.1)". The record is from RNAcentral. Lineage: Eukaryota; Metazoa; Chordata; Mammalia; Rodentia; Bathyergidae.